This 433-nucleotide ribosomal RNA is filed under the name uncultured bacterium. RNAcentral describes it as "partial 16S ribosomal RNA". It matches the Rfam family "Bacterial small subunit ribosomal RNA", at positions 29 to 507 of the family's 1533-position model. The record is from RNAcentral.
AACGAACGCUGGCGGCAUGCCUAACACAUGCAAGUCGAACGAGACCUUCGGGUCUAGUGGCGCACGGGUGCGUAACGCGUGGGAACCUGCCCUUAGGUUCGGAAUAACUCCCCGAAAGGGGUGCUAAUACCGGAUAAUGUCUUCGGACCAAAGAUUUAUCGCCUUUGGAUGGGCCCGCGUUGGACUAGCUAGUUGGUAGGGUAAAAGCCUACCAAGGCGACGAUCCAUAGCUGGUCUGAGAGGAUGAUCAGCCACACUGGGACUGAGACACGGCCCAGACUCCUACGGGAGGCAGCAGUGGGGAAUAUUGGACAAUGGGUGAAAGCCUGAUCCAGCAAUGCCGCGUGAGUGAUGAAGGCCUUAGGGUUGUAAAGCUCUUUUACCCGGGAUGAUAAUGACAGUACCGGGAGAAUAAGCUCCGGCUAACUCCGUG